This 119-nucleotide non-coding RNA is filed under the name Desulfobacter sp. RNAcentral's name for it is "Desulfitibacter sp. MoCo sequence". It matches the Rfam family "Molybdenum/Tungsten riboswitch aptamer (Moco RNA motif)". Lineage: Bacteria; Pseudomonadati; Thermodesulfobacteriota; Desulfobacteria; Desulfobacterales; Desulfobacteraceae. The record is from RNAcentral.
AAGCAUAGAGGUCUCCGAAUCGGUCAUUCUAAACCAUCUGGCACUGGAUUACCGAUCGUAGGGUAAGUGGGGAAACCUGCUUGCCUCCCAUGGUGGAAAGGAGAUGAGUUACUUUAUUU